Long non-coding RNA from Phyllostomus discolor (pale spear-nosed bat), 706 nucleotides. RefSeq lists it as uncharacterized. NCBI's taxonomy places the organism in Eukaryota, Metazoa, Chordata, Mammalia, Chiroptera, Phyllostomidae. The transcript is spliced from 3 exons. The record is from RefSeq and is a predicted model, not a curated record.
CGUGCCCUGACUGGGAAUCAAACCAGCAAUCUUUUGGUUUGCAGGCUUGCUCUCAUUCCACUGAGCUACAAUGGCCAGGGCUGAAUUUUUUUAUUAAUUCCAUGAUUGAUGGACUUUUGGAUUGUGCCCACUUUGGGGAUAUGGUAAAUAAAGUUGCUAUGAACAUUUGCACCUGUCUUUGGUGGACAUAUUUCUGUUGGGUCUUUCUUACUUCUCUUGGGUAUACGAGGUCUGUCCAGGACGUAUUCAGCCACGUAAUAUGAAAAAUAGAGACACUGAAGAAGAUACAUAGAACAAUGACGCCUCAGUCUCCUUCAAAGUCAGCACCUUGGGACCUCACACAGUUCUCCCAACUGCAGCACGAUGUUCCUUCUGCUCUGGUAGCAGAAGACGCGGGAUGAAUUUUGCCACGACAUGUUUCAUGCCAAGAUCCUGCCUCAAAAUCUCAGGCACAGCAGACUUUGGAGUCCCCAGAUCAGCUCCUAGUUCUUGGGCUGUCAGUUGCCGAUAUUUGUGGAUGGCAGCCAGUAUACAUUCAACAUUCUCAGGCAUUUUGCUUGUCACAGGCCUUCCAGAAUAUGGAUCACUUUCAACAGAUUCUUGACCACAGUUGAAGCAUUUGCGCCACACUUGUAUUUGCCCUGCACUCAUUGCAUUAUCUCCAAAAGCCUUCUAAAUCAUCCAAGUAGUUUCUGCGGUGGAGGGU